RNAcentral lists this ribosomal RNA (477 nucleotides) under uncultured bacterium. RNAcentral's name for it is "bacterial SSU rRNA". It matches the Rfam family "Bacterial small subunit ribosomal RNA", at positions 28 to 537 of the family's 1533-position model. The record is from RNAcentral.
GACGAACGCUGGCGGCGCGCUUAACACAUGCAAGUCGAGGGGUGUUUACACCACUGGCGCACGGGUGAGUAACGCGUAGGCAAUCUGCCCCUAUCACAGACAUAACGUCGGGAAACUGGCGCUAAUAUCUGAUGAGGACUCCGGUUCAAAGUAGUGAUAUGGAUAGGGAUGAGCCUGCGUUAGAUUAGCUAGUUGGUGAGGUAACUGCUCACCAAGGCGACGAUCUAUAGCUGGUCUGAGAGGACGAUCAGCCACACUGGAACUGAGACACGGUCCAGACUCCUACGGGAGGCAGCAGUGAGGAAUUUUGGUCAAUGGGCGGAAGCCUGAACCAGCCAUGCCGCGUGCAGGAAGGAGGCCCUACGGGUUGUAAACUGCUUUUACCCGGGAAGAAACCGCCCCUGUGGGGGCGUUGGCCGGUACCGGGGAAAAGGAUCGGCUAACUCCGUGCCAGCAGCCGCGGUAAAACGUCUACUA